AACGAACGCUGGCGGCAGGCCUAACACAUGCAAGUCGAGCGAGGACUUCGGUCCUAGCGGCGGACGGGUGAGUAACGCGUGGGAACGUGCCCUUUGCUUCGGAAUAGCCCUGGGAAACUGGGAGUAAUACCGGAUGAGCCCUUUGGGGGAAAGAUUUAUCGGCGAAGGAUCGGCCCGCGUUGGAUUAGGUAUUUGGUGGGGUAAUGGCCGACCAAGCCGACGAUCCAUAGCUGGUUUGAGAGGAUGAUCAGCCACACUGGGACUGAGACACGGCCCAGACUCCUACGGGAGGCAGGAGUGGGGAAUCUUAGACAAUGGGGGAAACCCUGAUCUAGCCAUGCCGCGUGAGCGAUGAAGGCCUUAGGGUUGUAAAGCUCUUUCAGCUGGGAAGAUAAUGACGGUACCAGCAGAAGAAGCCCCGGCUAACUACGUG
Molecule: ribosomal RNA, 433 nt
Filed under: uncultured bacterium
Lineage: Bacteria
Description: partial 16S ribosomal RNA
Rfam family: Bacterial small subunit ribosomal RNA
Source: RNAcentral